Molecule: ribosomal RNA, 249 nt
Filed under: uncultured Thermanaerovibrio sp.
Lineage: Bacteria; Thermotogati; Synergistota; Synergistia; Synergistales; Synergistaceae
Description: partial 16S ribosomal RNA
Rfam family: Bacterial small subunit ribosomal RNA
Source: RNAcentral
CACUCUGGCGGGACUGCCAUCGACAAGAUGGAGGAAGUGGGGAUGACGUCAAGUCAGUCAUGGCCCUUAUGUCCAGGGCGACACACGUGCUACAAUGGCCGGCACAGCGGGAAGCGAGGCAGUGAUGCCGAGCGGAUCCCUUAAAGCCGGUCUACAGUUCGGAUUGAAGUCUGCAACUCGACUUCAUGAAGCUGGAAUCGCUAGUAAUCGCAGAUCAGCCAAGCUGCGGUGAAUACGUUCCCGGGCCUU